GUUUAUAUAGUUUAAUAAAAACAUUACAUUUUCAUUGUAAAAUUAAAAUACUUUUUUUUAUAAAUU
Molecule: transfer RNA, 66 nt
Filed under: Fucellia costalis
Lineage: Eukaryota; Metazoa; Arthropoda; Insecta; Diptera; Anthomyiidae
Description: tRNA-Glu
Source: RNAcentral